UGGGGGGGCCCGGCGGCCGUUGGGCCUCGCGCGGCGACCGUUGGCUGCUUCCCGCCUCGGGGCAACGGCCCCGUGCUGACGGGGCGGGGUGGGGGGGGGCGCUCGCUGCCCUCAGGCGGCCCCUCAGCCCCGCGGGGACCGCCCGGCUCCUCCUCGCGACCCCUGGGGGAAGGGGCUUCGCUGAGGGGGGCCGUGAGGGUGUCGCCGCCGGCUUGGGGGCUGCGGGUCUGAGAGGAAGGCGGGUGGCCAGAGAGCUCGCCGCGGCUUCCAGGUGCCUCCUCAAAAGCUCUGAGUCGGGGCGCUUCGAAAAGCAGCCUGUCCUGAGUCAUAAUUACACGGAGCGCUGUUUGUGAUGGCUCACUUUGCUGGUCAGCCUUCCAAAGGAGAUGUACCUGCUGCUAAAGUGUGAGCCCACACGGGAAUUACCUGUCAAAUAACCGUAGUGAUCCUCUAUAUGUGAGCAGAGGACGUUUGGCUGAAGAACGGCUUGCAGGCACCGGCUCGCAGAAGCAAUGUUUGCAAUGCGAGGACUCUGCAGCGUGCCGUGUGGCAGUGACAGCAGCAUGAGCUCAGCAGGCAGGUUUGUACCGCACGGUGUAUCCCUGACCGGAGUGACCAGCCCUUGGCGAGGCGCGGUGCUUUGAGCGCCUCUGCUCAGGUGCAGGUUUACCCAGAGGACUUUGACUCUCUCCUCCCCCACGUUCGCAGUGUGCAAUGCAGCGUGCGCGUCAUGGCGUACAGAGGUGCCUGAACUCCUCUUGUCUCCAUCCUGUGGCUGUGAUGCUGCUCCCUGCGCACCAUGGUGCCUUUUAUAAAGCCUGAGGAACAAAGUACUACUGCAUGUAGGGGAGGUCCCACAGUGGUCACUGCUCGUGUGGAGAAACUGCAGAAUGGGAAGGCAAAGCAGGUUGUGGGUGACGACUGCGAAACCUGGGCAAGAGUUAGGAGCAGACUUCCACUUCCAGUCAUCCAGUGUUUUGUCUUAUCCCACCUUCUUUGUACCGAAUUAUCUCCAUCCUGUGAAAUGAAGGUGAUAGCCCUGCAAACUGCUUUGACAUUUGCAGAUCACAAGCAGAACACCCGGUAACUUUUAGGCAGGCAUCUGCCUAAGGAAAUGGGAGAAGCUGCCCUUAAGAAAAGUGCAGCUGCUGUGCAGGGCAGCCUGGAGAAGGAAUCUGGUGGAGUCCUUGCCACAGCAUGGGCCCUGGUUCUCUUCAGGAGCUUAACCUUCAUGUCAGCUUUGUUCUGCUAAGAGUUUGCUGUAAUUUAAGACCUUUACAGCUGGAAGGGAGUUGUGUUAUGUCCAUUUCACCACCAGUAAUUGCCAUCUGAAAGCAUUCCGUGGUGGCAACAGCGUGUGGUGUGGAAGUGUUAAAUUUUACACAGUGCCAGCUUGAAGUCACCUUAAAAUAAUCUUUAAAACAUAGAAUCAAUCAUAAUAAUGCUUUUGCUAAGACGUAAACAUGAGGAUCAUAGGCUAGAGUACCAAAUCCUAGCUGGUGCGGUAUGUUCCUACUUGGUACGAAGUCUGAAAUGAAGUGUGGGCUAGCCCAAAUAGCCCAAAUCUCGGAGAAACUGCUCUCUUGUAUGACAAGGAUGAGGGAACGUCAUGCUUCACUGACAUCAACACAUAACUAUUCCUAGGCACAUCCAGUUAACAGCAACCCAAGGAUCGCUGCCAUCGCAGCUCUUGUACAACUGUUCGUGUGUAUUUUCUAUCAUCCAUCGCUAUUCUUGAUGGAUUCUCAACUUGGUAAGUUCUGCACACAUAUGGAAGAAAGUGUUACUGUUGCUCUGAGGAGCCUACGGUCUGUAAGAGAAAAAAGGCUUUUGCCAUUAUCUUUCUUUUGGGUUGUUGUUGGUUAAUCUAUUCAUCUUUUUUUUUUUUUUUUAAUAAAAAUCUUCCAGUUAGUAUAUGCCAAAAAGGGCUUUUAUCCAAAAACUGAGAAAUCGUCAAAUAACUGUAUAAGGAAGGACUUUCCACGUGUGGGAAAACGUGCAAGGGAAGGCAUGGCACUUGCCUGCUGAUUCCUCUUACUCACUGGUGCAUCAAGUGUAGUGGAUUUGGAGUGUAUUUGAUGUUAUCAGCCAUUAAAACUAAACAGCUCUGUUAGCUAAUAUUUCAUUAAAGAUCACAAUAUCUUCA
Long non-coding RNA from Cygnus atratus (black swan), 2146 nucleotides. RefSeq lists it as uncharacterized. The record is from RefSeq and is a predicted model, not a curated record. Lineage: Eukaryota; Metazoa; Chordata; Aves; Anseriformes; Anatidae. The transcript is spliced from 2 exons.